CUGAGUAUUUGUCUUUUAAAGACAUCUCUCUAUCCAUAAACUCUUUUUUCUAAAAAGACAUGAUUUACACAAUUAGUCUGAAUGAUUAUAUAAAAAUCUUCA
This 102-nucleotide unclassified non-coding RNA is filed under the name soil metagenome. RNAcentral describes it as "partial internal transcribed spacer 1". The record is from RNAcentral.